UCUUGAACUUUAUAAGAGGUCCAGCCUGCCCAGUGACUCUGUUCAACGGCCGCGGUAUCCUAACCGUGCGAAGGUAGCGUAAUCACUUGUUCUUUAAAUGUGGACUAGUAUGAAUGGCACUACGAGGGUUAUACUGUCUCCUUUUUCUAAUCAGUGAAACUAAUUUUCCCGUGAAGAAGCGGGAAUAUUACUAUAAGACGAGAAGACCCUAUGGAGCUUUAAACAACCCAGCAAUUACUUCUAAAAUUAUAAAUUUCAGAAUAUUCAUUUUUCUAAGUAACAUGUCUGCAAGUUUUUGGUUGGGGUGACCAUGGAGAAUAACAUAACCUCCAUAUUGAAUGAAUUCCCUUCUAAGCUAAAAAUUACCUAUUGAAGCAUCAAUAUACUGACAUCUAUUGACCCAAUAUAUUUGAUCAACGAACCAAGUUACCCUAGGGAUAACAGCGCAAUCCACUUCAAGAGCCCCUAUCGACAAGUGGGUUUACGACCUCGAUGUUGGAUCAGGGUAUCCCAGUGGCGCAGCCGCUACUAAAGGUUCGUUUGUUCAACGAUUAAAAC
RNAcentral lists this ribosomal RNA (558 nucleotides) under Rhinella margaritifera (mitred toad). Its description in RNAcentral is "partial 16S ribosomal RNA". It matches the Rfam family "Bacterial large subunit ribosomal RNA", at positions 1834 to 2594 of the family's 2925-position model. Lineage: Eukaryota; Metazoa; Chordata; Amphibia; Anura; Bufonidae. The record is from RNAcentral.